RNAcentral lists this ribosomal RNA (422 nucleotides) under uncultured microorganism. Its description in RNAcentral is "bacterial SSU rRNA". It matches the Rfam family "Bacterial small subunit ribosomal RNA", at positions 9 to 429 of the family's 1533-position model. The record is from RNAcentral.
GAGUUUGAUCCUGGCUCAGAUUGAACGCUGGCGGCAUGCCUUACACAUGCAAGUCGAACGGCGGCAUGAUCUAGCUUGCUAGAUUGAUGGCGAGUGGCGAACGGGUGAGUAAUACAUCGGAACGUGCCCUGUAGUGGGGGAUAACUAGUCGAAAGAUUAGCUAAUACCGCAUACGACCUGAGGGUGAAAGUGGGGGACCGCAAGGCCUCAUGCUAUAGGAGCGGCCGAUGUCUGAUUAGCUAGUUGGUGGGGUAAAGGCCCACCAAGGCGACGAUCAGUAGCUGGUCUGAGAGGACGAUCAGCCACACUGGGACUGAGACACGGCCCAGACUCCUACGGGAGGCAGCAGUGGGGAAUUUUGGACAAUGGGCGAAAGCCUGAUCCAGCAAUGCCGCGUGUGUGAAGAAGGCCUCGGUUGUAAG